AGAACGAACGCUGGCGGCAUGCCUAACACAUGCAAGUCGAACGCUUUUGGGGCUUCGGUCCCAAAGGAGUGGCGCACGGGUGAGUAGCGCGUGGGAACCUGCCCUGUUGUGGGGGAUAACCGAGGGAAACUUCGGCUAAUACCGCAUACGCCCGGGGGAAACUCCGGGGAAAGAUUUAUCGCCGAAAGAUCGGCCCGCGUCUGAUUAGCUAGUUGGUGAGGUAACGGCUCACCAAGGCGACGAUCAGUAGCUGGUCUGAGAGGAUGAUCAGCCUCACUGGGAAUGAGACACGGCCCAGACUCCUACGGGAGGCAGCAGUGGGGAAUAUUGGACAAUGGGCGCAAGCCUGAUCCAGCCAUGCCGCGUGGGUGAUGAAGGCCCUAGGGUUGUAAAGCCUUUCGGCGGGAAGAUAAUGACGGUACCGCAGAAGACGCCCGGACUAACUCGUGCCAGCAGCCGC
RNAcentral lists this ribosomal RNA (460 nucleotides) under uncultured bacterium. Its description in RNAcentral is "SSU rRNA". It matches the Rfam family "Bacterial small subunit ribosomal RNA", at positions 26 to 518 of the family's 1533-position model. The record is from RNAcentral.